This 72-nucleotide transfer RNA is filed under the name Phaeocystis rex. RNAcentral describes it as "tRNA-Pro". It matches the Rfam family "tRNA". Rfam says of the family: Transfer RNA (tRNA) molecules are approximately 80 nucleotides in length. Their secondary structure includes four short double-helical elements and three loops (D, anti-codon, and T loops). Further hydrogen bonds mediate the characteristic L-shaped molecular structure. tRNAs have two regions of fundamental functional importance: the anti-codon, which is responsible for specific mRNA codon recognition, and the 3' end, to which the tRNAs corresponding amino acid is attached (by aminoacyl-tRNA synthetases). tRNAs cope with the degeneracy of the genetic code in two manners: having more than one tRNA (with a specific anti-codon) for a particular amino acid; and 'wobble' base-pairing, i.e. permitting non-standard base-pairing at the 3rd anti-codon position. The record is from RNAcentral. Lineage: Eukaryota; Haptophyta; Phaeocystales; Phaeocystaceae.
AGGGAUAUGGCGAAAUGGUAUCGCGUUGAUUUUGGGAGUCAAAGGAUGUAAGUUCAAAUCUUACUAUUCUGU